Molecule: transfer RNA, 76 nt
Filed under: Pseudomonas aeruginosa
Lineage: Bacteria; Pseudomonadati; Pseudomonadota; Gammaproteobacteria; Pseudomonadales; Pseudomonadaceae
Description: tRNA-Thr
Rfam family: tRNA
About the family: Transfer RNA (tRNA) molecules are approximately 80 nucleotides in length. Their secondary structure includes four short double-helical elements and three loops (D, anti-codon, and T loops).
Source: RNAcentral
GCCGGUAUAGCUCAGCUGGUAGAGCAACUGACUUGUAAUCAGUAGGUCCCGGGUUCGACUCCUGGUGCCGGCAACA